This 301-nucleotide ribosomal RNA is filed under the name uncultured bacterium. RNAcentral describes it as "partial 16S ribosomal RNA". It matches the Rfam family "Bacterial small subunit ribosomal RNA", at positions 509 to 807 of the family's 1533-position model. The record is from RNAcentral.
CAGUAGCCACGGGAAUACGAAGGGUGCAAGCGUUACUCGGAAUUACUGGGCGUAAAGCGUGCGUAGGUGGUGGUUUAAGUCCGUUGUGAAAGCCCUGGGCUCAACCUGGGAAUUGCAGUGGAUACUGGGUCACUAGAGUGUGGUAGAGGAUAGUGGAAUUUCCGGUGUAGCAGUGAAACGCGUAGAGAUCGGAAGGAACAUCUGUGGCGAAGGCGGCCAUCUGGGACAACACUGACGCUGAGGCACGAAAGCGUGGGGAGCAAACAGGAUUAGAUACCCGCGUAGUCCCUGUCUCUUAUAC